UGGCGUGCCUAACAGAGGUAAUACUUCGCGCUAACGGGGAGAAACCCGUAGAAGGAACUUCAGCCUCGGGAUAUAAAUCUUUUGCCGACAGAUGCGCCGCCCUCGACGUUCACCAUCGACCAACCAACCGACCAGAAUUUCCGAAAGGUAAAAGUACAAUAGAGAAACACAAAAGGUCCUGACAUAUGAGGAACAGGCCACGUGACGUUUUGACCACGGAAGGUUUGCGUGCAGUGAGAAAAGCAGUCAAGCCAAAGCCAAAACCCCGAGGAGUGUUAAAAUCAGGCGUGAUACCGCUUUUUGCGGGUUAACCAACGACGAUACCACUAUAGCAUGGUUAACGGUCAUGCAAUAUGUACUAGGUCACCUUGAGGGUAUUAAUAAAAAUAUUGAUAUUGAUC
Molecule: long non-coding RNA, 401 nt
Filed under: Polistes fuscatus (common paper wasp)
Lineage: Eukaryota; Metazoa; Arthropoda; Insecta; Hymenoptera; Vespidae
Description: uncharacterized LOC122515470
Source: RNAcentral